UUCGCUUUCGAUUUACUAAUUUUUGGUUUAUUGACUUUGUUUAGCUUACAUCGUAGUUUAUUGUAUCGGUUGUAUCAUUUUUCGCAUGUCUGACACAAAUUAUCACGUUUAAGAUGAUCCCCCGUCUACGAUCGUAUCAGGUUCAUGAUUGUGAUUCAGUCAUCGGGAUGGUUUGAUCCGGAUCGGAAGCAAAAUAUUUGCGCAGAAGUUUUCAAUAUAUUUUGAUAAUAAGUUCUUUAGAAGCUUAGUUCUUGCAAGGCUGAAUACUAUUUAUACACCUGGUAAAUUGUGGAGAAUGUGUUAAACGAUCGUCACAUACCGGUUAUCGGCGAUACUCAUAGUUGGAAAACCCUACUAAGCAAUCAUGAACUCGUUUAUAGUAAUUCUAGUGAUUUCGACCGGCUACUUACUGAUUGUUACGUCGGUCCACGGGCAAGUCGAUAAAGAAUCCGACAACGAUCUGGUUGCCGAUGAAACUACAAUCAUUUUCCGUCCCUUGUUCGUGUACAAGAUGCAGCAGGCCAAAAAGCUGGAACGCCAGAAGAUUCGCGAGUGGCAAAGGCUUCACCCUAAUGAAAACUAUUAUUACCAACAAAAGUAUCCAAAUACCAUUCAAGGUUUUAUUUUUAAGUAGACUAAGUGUUUAUCAAAUAGACUAAUAUUUAUAUCUA
Long non-coding RNA from Aedes aegypti (yellow fever mosquito), 671 nucleotides. RefSeq lists it as uncharacterized. Lineage: Eukaryota; Metazoa; Arthropoda; Insecta; Diptera; Culicidae. The record is from RefSeq and is a predicted model, not a curated record. The transcript has 2 exons.